UAGAUCCAGCUGAUGGGUGUGUUUAAUAAGUUUGCAGCUCGGUGAUCCUAGUCGUAUUGCAGCUGCUAGUUAGUUAAUCAUCUGCUCCAACGAGCUAUUGUCGUGUCGUGUCGUCGAUUUGCUGUUCAAUUAGUAGGUGCGUGGUGAAUGUGUGACUAGAGAUGUUUCAUUGUCGUGCAAUGAACUGCAUGUCGUCAGCUCUGUGUCCGUCCUUGGUGUGUUGUGUGUGUUCUAGUUUGAAUCUACUUUAAAAUUUGGCUGGGUCAUGGAACUGCUGUUUUUUUUUUUUUGCUUGCUAUCUAUCGAAAGAUUCAAUGUGCAUCCACGCUAAGGGGAGAAACAUUCGUGCAUGGCCGCACAUGCCCUCACUCUCCUCGUGAUGGAUGAAUCUAAAUGAUGUAAAAUGUGAUCUAGGAAGAGGAACAAACAGAGGUUGUCAAUGUGAAGCCCAAGAGAGAGCUGAGAUAAAUCUAAAUGAUGUAAACAUUCGUGCAUGGCCGCACAUGCCCUCCCUUUCCUCGUGUGGAACCAAGAUUAAUAUCUCCGGCAGCGAGAACUGAGAACUAUGCACAAGACAGAAUCAUCAGCCGCUGUCUAUUUUUAGAAGUGCAUGACUCUGAUGAAAGAGACUAGACAGUGUAUGCUAUAGUCAAUGCGACAGCAUGUUAUACGUAACACCCUAUGGCUCGACCUCUUUUGAUACCAUAUAAAAAUGUGUUUUAUAAUCAAUGCAACCAAAAAAUCGAUCUGAUGAAAGAAAGCACAUUAUAUAUCAAUAAUUUUUAAUGUUUUAAAGCAUCUUCAACUCAGCUGGGUUAAUCUGGCCUCUUAUUUGUUCCUAGAUCAAUGUAUGAAGAUUUGAAGGCCUCGACUGGAGACGCUCUUAGCUCAUAAUAAGGACGUAUUUUACUGCAAGCGGCAGCAGCCCCGUCGCACCGUGAAACCAGCGGCGGCCGCCGCCGCCGUUCGUCGUUGUCUCUUGCCGGAAGGAAGAAGCAGGGUGGGUAGAUUCCAUGCAAAUCCCGGCCCCGACCGGGCCCCUACACAGUCACCAUCCUUAUCUCACGACAUCGAGAACCGGGCAAAGCAACGGCAGGGAAACCGGGAAAGCGGAAAACGUGGCAGAGACGGAAGGCGCAUCGAUCGAUUACUGACAGGUGCACGCGUGUACCUACACUGCACCUGUACCUGCGCUUUCGUGCCCGGUUAACGCUUCCUCCCAUGAAAGCUUUGGGAUAAAUAGUUGUAUUUCAGAGCGCUUUAGGGUAAUCAUCUGCAGAUUACGGUGUAGACAUCCUUCGAGCUCGAGCACGCAUGGACCAGUGAAGCAUGCACGUGAAGCACUGCCACCACUGCACAAUCUUUUAGCAUGGGCAGCACGAGUACACCCGCAAAAAAAAAA
This 1402-nucleotide long non-coding RNA is filed under the name Triticum aestivum (bread wheat). Its description in RNAcentral is "long non-coding RNA (TAES_LNC005192)". The record is from RNAcentral. Lineage: Eukaryota; Viridiplantae; Streptophyta; Magnoliopsida; Poales; Poaceae.